CACAGUUCUGGCCAUUGACCAGCCCUGAUUUACACCAUCUGCUAUUCACCACCCAUCUACCCCUAUACUUCUCAGAGUGAGUUUGACAAUUCCCAGGCCAUCAAGGACCACAUCCCUCCAUCGUUUCUUGAGAUAACUGAAGUAUUUUAGGAGAAACUGAUGUUAAAAAGACCAAACCAGAAUAUUGGUUACAAAGCAGUAUAUUGUAAUUAAAAAGCAGACUCUGGAACUAGACUUGUUUGGUGCAGCCAUUUGUCAGUUGAGUAACUACAAACAAGAUGCUUAACCUCUCUGUUCCUCAAUUUGCUUGUGUGUUCAGAUGAUAUCUGUUCUGUUGAGCAGAGGGUUGAAACUUUAUGCCUGGCAUAUAGUAAGAGCCUUCAAUAGAUAAAUUUAUUACUAUGUAUAUUACUAUGGAAUUCUAAGCCGGGGAACAGCAAACUAUAUGUUGUUGGCCAAAUCCCGCCUCUAUCCUAUUUUCGUACGGCCUGAGAGCUGGAAUUUCACAUUUGUAAAGAAUUUUAAGAAGAAAAAAAAGUAUAUAUAAAAAAGGAGAAAGCAAAGAAUAUGCUACAGAAAAUGUAUAUGGACUGCAAAGCCUAAAACAUUGUCUAGCCCUUAAAAAAAAAAGAUUCGUUUAUUCAUUUUAGAGAGCGUGCACACAUGGUGGGGGAAGAGGGGUAAAGGGAGAGGGAGCGACAGUCCCACGCUGACUCUACAGUGAGUGCAGAACCCGAUGUUGGGCUUGAUCUCAAGAUCCUGAGAUCAGGACCUGAGCCAAAACCAAGAGUCAGAUGCUUGAACACACUGCGCCACCCAGGCGCCCCCCCCCCACACAAAAUUUAAACACAAAAUUUAAACAAGGAAAGAAGGAAAAGAAACAGAAAACAUGCCCUAAUAUCCCCCGAGAACGCACUGAAUUGCAACAGUUUAUACAUUUAAGGGGUAAAAAAGUGGCAACCUACCGUAAGCGCUGCCUUGCUGAGGAUUCUGGGAAAUGUAGUCCGCGAGCGCGCCGCAGUCAGAGCCACUUCCGCUACCGUCGGGAGGCGCUGUCAGCCCUUGUUCCGCCAGGGGUUCUGGGAAAGCUGGUCCGGGAGCGGCGUCGGGUCCGGGCACUUGAGCUGCGGCGGGGCGAAAUCCCGGUCAGCGGUACCUCCUGGGAGGACCCUGCCCUCUCCCAGGAGCAGCAGGAGAGAAUGACCAAGUUUCAGGUGAGUUGAGUUUUGAUUUUUUAUCAAAAUUACAUGCCUUUUUCUCAAAGACGAGACGCAUCUUUUUUCUGUUCGCUGGGAAGGAUAAAGGAGGAAAACGGGCAUUUGUUAUGUGCGAGUUACUUAUUU
RNAcentral lists this long non-coding RNA (1343 nucleotides) under Ursus maritimus (polar bear). RNAcentral describes it as "lncRNA (ENSUMAG00000023062.1)". Lineage: Eukaryota; Metazoa; Chordata; Mammalia; Carnivora; Ursidae. The record is from RNAcentral.